RNA transcript from Spinacia oleracea (spinach), 1787 nucleotides. RefSeq lists it as uncharacterized. The transcript is spliced from 3 exons. NCBI's taxonomy places the organism in Eukaryota, Viridiplantae, Streptophyta, Magnoliopsida, Caryophyllales, Amaranthaceae. The record is from RefSeq and is a predicted model, not a curated record.
UUCAUCCAAAAUAUAAGAUAAUUCAAUAUGACCAACUAUCACUCUUACCAAUUUAUGACUUGUAUAUAUAACUAUUGUCGUUUACAAAGAAAAAUUAAAUCCAAAAUAUUUGGCAUUAUAUUGUCUUUCAUUGUUGUUAUAUGUUUUGUGAUAGCUUGAGGGAACCUGUUCGAAAGUGUGCUAAAACUAAAGAGACAAUUGAGAGGUGAGAGCCUAAAAAUUUAAUUUGCCCAUUAACCAAUUCACUAAAACUCUGAGCGCCAUAACCAAAUCACUUAAAUUUUAAGCGCCAUAACCAAAUCACUUAAAUUUUGAGCGCCAUAACCAAAUCACUUAAAUUUUGAGCGCCAUAACCAAAUCAUUGAUUGAUUUGUCUAAUUUUUCACUUUUCUCAAUUUUGUUUCCGUUCUUGGAAUUUCUAGGGUUUGAAUAUGUUGAUAAUAGUUUGAUUAGUCUCUUGUGUUUGAUCUAUUUUUUCAUUUAGGGGAUUAUCAUUAAUCUACCUACAUUUUUGCAUAAAUUUUUGAUUUUAAUGGUACUAGCUUGUUCAUCUUUUCCUGUCUUUGUGCUUCAUCAGAUCUAAUAUGCAACUUUUGGUAUUCUUUUAACUUAAAAAAUUGGAUUUUUGUAAUUUCAUUGUAGAAAAUCGAUGGAAACUGUAUAAUUUUGAGAUGUUUUAAAGUCAUUGUUCUUGGGAUCAUCAGAAAAACUGUCAAUAUCAUGACUUUUUGGAAUUUUGUCUCAUAGAUUUGAACUUUUUCUCAAGUGUACUUGUGGACAUCUUCAAUGUCACAAGAACUGGUAAAUGUUAUGAUGACUUCUUGAAGCACGCAACUAGUUUUGAACGAUAUUUUUAUAUGCUUCUUUUCAGGUUGAUCUGGUAAUUUCCUCCUCCAAUCAUCCUAGAGAGCCUCCCAGAAGAUCAGAAUCAGCAGCCACCUAUCAAUCUUCAUGACUAACAGAAAUGCAAGUUCAGCAAGAGAAGAUGACAUGAGCGAUUUAAAAGAUCUGUCUGUUUUUGAGAUGCCCGGAAAUAGAGUUGAUACUUAUCAAAUGAGUAUGCUAAUAGGGAAUACAUGUUCUAAAGUGCGUACUGCGUUGCAAGAAACUCAAAUUGUAGAACCAUAACCAUAAUAGACUACCCAACAAUAGUGUUUCGAGGAUCGUCAUGCCUUUGAACUUCAGUGUGUCCUUGAAUUCUUCCACAUUUCCACAUCCGAAUGAGUUAUCAGCUCCAACAUCUCCCUGUGAGCCUCCUGGUCCUCCACAAAUUUUAUAUUGUCGGCAUGGAGAAAGGUCUUUGCAGUGGUUGCGAGGUGUGGUAGGGAUGCUGGUGUAACAGGGGUUGUCUUGCUAGCAGGUGCAUACACGCGAGUGAUGGUUGCAUUCUUGUAAUUUGCUAGAAUUGCGGUUAUUGCAUCAGGUUGGGCAAAAAUACUUGUGCAUUCAUUUGUUCUAUACUUCUAUGUGUAAAUGAUACUCUGUAAUAUGACUAUCACUUCAGGUCUGUGAGUUGUCUUCUAUCAGUUUGAUUAGUGUUGCUUCUGUCAGGUUGAUUAUUACCGCCGACCAAAUAUUUCCAGAAACACGAUAUUUGUGUCUGCAUCAUUUGUAUGGUGUUUCCCAACUGACCAUCUGUAGUAAGCAUAUCCCUACAAAACACAUCUUCUCUCUUGUGGGCAGGCAGUUAAGAUUUUAUGCUCAUAGUAUUGUUUGUUGUUAUCUUAUAUUGCCAAGAAUGGGCUCAUUUAAGAUAAUAAAAGACUAUGUGAACUAAUAUUCCACUA